GGGGGCGCAACGCCCUCG
Molecule: small nuclear RNA, 18 nt
Filed under: Arabidopsis thaliana (thale cress)
Lineage: Eukaryota; Viridiplantae; Streptophyta; Magnoliopsida; Brassicales; Brassicaceae
Description: snRNA_09792
Source: RNAcentral